AACCUGGUUGAUCUUGCCAGUAGUCAUAUGCUUGUCUCAAAGAUUAAGCCAUGCAAGUGAAAGUAUAUGCAUAUUUUAUAUGUAGAAACUGCGAACGGCUCAUUAAAACAGUUAUAAUCUACUUGACAUUUUUUACUAUAAGGAUAACUACGGAAAAGCUGUAGCUAAUACUUGCUUUUAAUACUCUUGAUUAAGUUCUUGAGUAUGUACUUGUUAAGCCUUAUAAGAGAAAAGUUAAUAACUUAAGGAAUUAUAACAAAGAAGUAACACGUAAUAAACUAAGUUUAUUUUAGUGUUUAUCAAUCGAGUUUCUGACCUAUCAGCUUUUGAUGUUAGGGUAUUGGCCUAACAUGGCUAUGACGGGUAACGGGGAAUUAGAGUUCGAUUCCGGAGAGGGAGCCUGAGAAAUAGCUACCACAUCUAAGGAAGGCAGCAGGCGCGUAAAUUACCCAAUUCUAAAGAAGAGAGGUAGUGACAAGAAAUAACAAUACAAGGCCAAUCUGGCUUUGUAAUUGGAAUGAUGGGAAUUUAAAACCUUCCCAAAAUACAAUUGGAGGGCAAGUCUGGUGCCAGCAGCCGCGGUAAUUCCAGCUCCAAUAGCGUAUAUUAAAAUUGUUGCAGUUAAAACGCUCGUAGUUGAAUUUCAAAGAAUCGAUAUUUUAAGUCAUGCUUUUAGUUUAAUCCACAAUAACUAAUACUUCGAGUAUUGGUUAUGUGCGCAUUAUAUACUAUUAUGUGUCUCUUUUAAUAAAAUGUUUCUUUCUAAGAUUUUCUUUUUUCUUUUUAAUAGCAUUAGAAGAUUUUUUUACUUUGAGUAAAUUAGAGUGUUCAAAGCAAACAGAUAUAGCAUUUACUGCGUUUGAAUACUACAGCAUGGAAUAAUAAAAUUGAACAAGUCAAAAUUUUGUUUUUUUUUUUUAUUUUGGCUUAGUUACGAUUAAUAGGAGUAGCUUGGGGGCAUUUGUAUUCAGAUGUCAGAGGUGAAAUUCUUAGAUUUUCUGGAGACAAACAACUGCGAAAGCAUUUGCCUAAAAUACUUCCAUUAAUCAAGAACGAAAGUUAAGGGAGUGAAGACGAUCAGAUACCGUCGUAAUCUUAACCAUAAACUAUACCGACUAGGCUUUGGAUGUAAGAUUUAAAAAUAAGAAAUUGUCCUUUUUGGGGAGAAUUUCUUAGAUAGCUUCCUUCAGUGCCUUAUGAGAAAUCAAAGUCUUUGGGUUCUGGGGCGAGUAUUCGCGCAAGCGAGAAAGUUAAAAGAAUUGACGGAAGGGCACCACCAGGCGUGGAGCUUGCGGCUUAAUUUGACUCAACACGGGAAAACUCACUAGUUUAAGACAAGAGUAGGAUUGACAGAUUAAUAGCUCUUUCUUGAUUUCUUGGAUGGUGAUGCAUGGCCGUUUUUAGUUCGUGAAUAUGAUUUGUCUGGUUAAUUCCGAUAACGAACGAGAUCUUAACCUGCUAAUUAGCGGCAAGUACGACAUAUUUUUGGGAGGAAUUGAAUUUAGUUAGUUUGUACAUUUUGAAGAAAAUAUUAGGAUACGUAAUAGUAUCCUUUUCCCUUUUCUACUUAAUUUACUUACUAUACUGAUUUUUUUUUUGAUCAAAAAUGUAUUUGCUUGAUUGUAAAGCUUCUUAGAGGAACGAUGUGUGUCUAACACAAGGAAGUUUAAGGCAACAACAGGUCUGUGAUGUCCUUAGAUGAACUAGGCUGCACGCGUGCUACACUGAUAUGUAUAACGAGUUAUUAGAAAUAUACACAUUAGUGCUAUGUUCAUUCGUGAGCUGGUAUUUGUUGUCAUAGUUUUCCUCCACUGAAAAGUGUAGGUAAUCUUUAUCAAUACAUAUCGUGAUGGGGAUAGAUUAUUGCAAUUAUUAAUCUUGAACGAGGAAUGCCUAGUAAGCAUGAUUCAUCAGAUUGUGCUGACUACGUCCCUGCCCUUUGUACACACCGCCCGUCGCUCCUACCGAUUGAAAGAUAUGAUGAAUUGUUUGGACAAGAAAAAUGAAGAUACACAUCUUCGCUUUUCUGAAAAAACCGUAAAUCCUAUCUUUUAAAGGAAGGAGAAGUCGUAACAAGGUUUCCGUAGGUGAACCUGCGGAAGGAUCAUUA
Molecule: ribosomal RNA, 2110 nt
Filed under: Plasmodium gonderi
Lineage: Eukaryota; Apicomplexa; Aconoidasida; Haemosporida; Plasmodiidae
Description: Eukaryotic small subunit ribosomal RNA
Rfam family: Eukaryotic small subunit ribosomal RNA
Source: Rfam by way of RNAcentral